UACAGGAAUGAAAUAUAUUCUUCUUAUAUUGUUUCUAUAACUAUGUCACCCUUGACUAAGCCUGGUGAUGAAGCAUGUAUAAUUUAGGGUAAGAAAAAUCUAUAUUUAAGAUUGUGAUGGCACAUCCAAAGUUGGACUGGAACAUCCAAAUACCAAACAAUUGGCACAAUCAUAUAACUAAUUAUGUCAGGCCGGAAAUAACAGUUUAUCUUUAGUGAAAUCCUAAUUAAUGGUCCCUUGUUAAUUAUCUGUGGUUAAAAAGGUCGAUGUGAUGGGGAAUAACUGCAUGAUUACAUUGUUAACACUCUGGGGCAACUGGACAAGGUAGGAACUGACAGCCGUUUCUUAUCCUUAUUUCCCAUUUAAAUUCUGUACGUUCAUGUGCUGAGUAAAAAUUGAUAUAAAAAUUGUAUAAUAAAUAUUCAUACCUCUACUGUGUUGUUUUGUUCUUGCAAAUAUUUAUACUUCUAUAUUUUGGUAUUUCAAGUUACCCGCCACGGCAGCUAUUCGCCAUAUUAUGAAAGCGGCGCUCCUUAUAUAAUAAAAUUUAUAUGUCACGUGACAUGUAUUGGCCAACCGUAACAAUGAAAACAAAAAUGGUGGGACAAGUUGAGCCGGGCAAUUGCCUGAACUUUCAUGAAUUUGGAGUUACUUAAGAGUUGACAGCUUGCCCGGGUGUGGCGCUUUAUUAGCUAUGACUUUAAGGAAAGCGGGACUAUAGGUAUGAAGAUUAUUUGAAUGGUGCUGUAGCUGAAAGGUCAGGUUACUCCAGUCUUG
Long non-coding RNA from Mytilus californianus (California mussel), 777 nucleotides. RefSeq lists it as uncharacterized. NCBI's taxonomy places the organism in Eukaryota, Metazoa, Mollusca, Bivalvia, Mytilida, Mytilidae. The transcript has 2 exons. The record is from RefSeq and is a predicted model, not a curated record.